This 453-nucleotide ribosomal RNA is filed under the name uncultured bacterium. RNAcentral describes it as "partial 16S ribosomal RNA". It matches the Rfam family "Bacterial small subunit ribosomal RNA", at positions 28 to 523 of the family's 1533-position model. The record is from RNAcentral.
GAUGAACGCUGGCGGUAUGCUUAACACAUGCAAGUCGAACGAAGAUUUUUAAUCUUAGUGGCGGACGGGUGAGUAACGCGUGAGAAUCUGCCCUUAGGAAGAGGAUAACAGCUGGAAACGGUUGCUAAUACUCUAUACGCCGAGAGGUAAAAGGAAAUAUCCACCUUAGGAAGAGCUCGCGUCUGAUUAGCUUGUUGGUGAGGUAAUGGCUCACCAAGGCGACGAUCAGUAGCUGGUUUGAGAGGACGACCAGCCACACUGGGACUGAGACACGGCCCAGACUCCUACGGGGGGCAGCAGUGGGGAAUUUUCCUCAAUGGGCGAAAGCCUGACGGAGCAAUACCGCGUGAGGGAUGAAAGCCUGUGGGUUGUAAACCUCUUUUCUCAAGGAAGAAAUUUUGACGGUACUUGAGGAAUAAGCAUCGGCUAACUCUGUGCCAGCCGCCGCCGCGG